UUUUAUAUGAGAGUUUGAUCCUGGCUCAGGAUGAACGCUGGCGGCGUGCCUAAUACAUGCAAGUCGAACGAGUUCUGAUUAUUGAAAGGUGCUUGCAUCUUGAUUUAAUUUUGAACGAGUGGCGGACGGGUGAGUAACACGUGGGUAACCUGCCCUUAAGUGGGG
RNAcentral lists this ribosomal RNA (165 nucleotides) under Lacticaseibacillus rhamnosus. Its description in RNAcentral is "Lactobacillus rhamnosus partial 16S ribosomal RNA". It matches the Rfam family "Bacterial small subunit ribosomal RNA", at positions 1 to 141 of the family's 1533-position model. The record is from RNAcentral. Lineage: Bacteria; Bacillati; Bacillota; Bacilli; Lactobacillales; Lactobacillaceae.